This is a long non-coding RNA of Hibiscus syriacus, 599 nucleotides long. RefSeq lists it as uncharacterized. The transcript is spliced from 5 exons. NCBI's taxonomy places the organism in Eukaryota, Viridiplantae, Streptophyta, Magnoliopsida, Malvales, Malvaceae. The record is from RefSeq and is a predicted model, not a curated record.
CUAACACCCCCAAAAUCUCUCCCCAUUUAUUCGAGCGUCCACGAUACCCACCCAGAGUUUGUUCUGCCGAUCCCUAACUUCCCUACUGUUGUGGUCCAUUUUUGCUUUCAUUAAAAAAUUAUGGUCUAUUUUUCACCGUAAAAGCAUCUCUGAAGCCCUAAGCGCUUGAAUUUCAGCUACAAUCAGGAAUCUUCCGUUGAAUCCUUCCUAGGUAAUACUGCAGGUAGGAUCACCGUUCUGAACUUGUAUUUGUUCUGUUUUGCAACCCUGCUAGUUGAGAAUGGGAAAUUCCUUCUUUCUGUAAAAAGGACUCGUAGGACUACUGAUACAGAGUAUAUCAUUUUUAUGAAUGCGGAAAAUAUUUCAAGUUCAAGCAACAAUUACAUCGGAAAACUGAGGUAAUACUGGAGGCUGCAAGUUUUCAGUUUUUAAUUCAAUUUAUCUACUUGUCCGCGUUGAGGUGUCGUUGUUUUGACAGAAAGCUUCUGUUAGAAAUAGUGCUAAUUGAGUUGAGCAGCUCGAAUUUUAUUCGUUUAUGAGGAACUCGUUUGUCAAGAAACAAAGGAAAAAUUGAGGGAGAAAAAGGCGGAGCAUCAUGC